UACGGAGGAUCCGAGCGUUAUCCGGAUUUAUUGGGUUUAAAGGGAGCGUAGGCGGGUUGUUAAGUCAGUUGUGAAAGUUUGCGGCUCAACCGUAAAAUUGCAGUUGAUACUGGCAUCCUUGAGUACAGUGGAGGUAGGCGGAAUUCGUGGUGUAGCGGUGAAAUGCUUAGAUAUCACGAAGAACUCCGAUUGCGAAGGCAGCCUGCUGGACUGUAACUGACGCUGAUGCUCGAAAGUGUGGGUAUCAAACAGG
This 253-nucleotide ribosomal RNA is filed under the name uncultured bacterium. RNAcentral's name for it is "partial 16S ribosomal RNA". It matches the Rfam family "Bacterial small subunit ribosomal RNA", at positions 524 to 776 of the family's 1533-position model. The record is from RNAcentral.